This 213-nucleotide ribosomal RNA is filed under the name uncultured fungus. RNAcentral's name for it is "partial small subunit ribosomal RNA". The stretch from base 85 to 213 matches the Rfam family "Eukaryotic small subunit ribosomal RNA", at positions 733 to 864 of the family's 1831-position model. Lineage: Eukaryota; Fungi. The record is from RNAcentral.
GAGGAGAGAUCUCGGUCUAGGUUCGCCUUGUACUGAGACGCUCGAAUCUUUUUUCUGGGGAAGCGAGGUGUCCUUAACUGGGCGUCUCGGGGAACCAGGACGAUUACCUUGAGAAAAAUAGAGUGUUCAAAGCAGGCUUUUGCUUGGAUACGUUAGCAUGGAAUAAUAAAAUAGGACUUUGGUUCUAUUUUGUUGGUUUUAAGGACCAAUGUC